UGGACCAAUGAUGACACACGUGACGGUAGGAGUCACAGGCGAUGAAGACAAGUCUGAAACUCUGAGGUCCAG
This is a small nucleolar RNA of Talpa occidentalis (Iberian mole), 72 nucleotides long. RefSeq annotates it as small nucleolar RNA SNORD113/SNORD114 family. Lineage: Eukaryota; Metazoa; Chordata; Mammalia; Eulipotyphla; Talpidae. The record is from RefSeq and is a predicted model, not a curated record. The transcript has a single exon.